Non-coding RNA from Caenorhabditis elegans, 21 nucleotides. NCBI's taxonomy places the organism in Eukaryota, Metazoa, Nematoda, Chromadorea, Rhabditida, Rhabditidae. The record is from Ensembl.
UCUUUCGAGUACCAUAGGACG